This 1111-nucleotide long non-coding RNA is filed under the name Parus major (Great Tit). RNAcentral's name for it is "lncRNA (ENSPMJG00000018167.1)". Lineage: Eukaryota; Metazoa; Chordata; Aves; Passeriformes; Paridae. The record is from RNAcentral.
GUGAAUGGGAUAUCUUGCCUUUUUAAAUUCCCAGUGAAUCUCAGCACAGCAAUCUCUAUGAUGAAUGAAAGACCCGAUUUUUUUUCCUCUCUCUGUGUAAACUGUAUCAAUUUUGUGCUUCUUUUACAGCUUCUGCUUUUCUAAGAAAGGAGAAAACAGCAGAGGACCAGAAGAACCAAACCUGUUGUGACAGCAUCCCAGGAAGCUGCCUGCUGGGGAGACACAGGAGUAGGGAAGACCUGUCUGACUGUGGGAUCUCCUGCUGUAGUUCUGCAGAAAGCCAUUUCAUGACCACUUGCCUGUCGUGUAUGCUGGAUUGAAAUGGUUUUUAUUUUGCACAGGCUGAAGAUGGUGAAUUGAAACAAACAUAAUAAGAGUGGCAGCCAAAAACAAGGACAUUUACAAAGGAUAGUUAUUGCUUAGAUUAUGAAUAUCAAAUUUCUAUUGACAUGAAAAAAUUACAUCUUACAGAGAUUUUAUAAGUGUUGUCAUUCACAAUGAAGUAUAACAGAAAAGAUUUUACUCUCAGCUGCCUGUAGAAUUAAGUCACAUGAGCCAUUCUUCAGAGAAAUGUGAAGCUGAAACUUAGAAGGAUGCAAAUUUCUAUGUAAAAAUAGUGUCAUUCCCCUUCCUUGAAUUUGGUUCAUGGAGAAUUGCUAUAUAGGAAAGACCAGUGGGGAAUGUAAAGUUCUCUGGGGGCAGAAAGAGUUUCCAGUUCCCCACUCACUUGUUCAGCUUCAUUCGAUGAAGAAUGUCCCUGCCAGAAUACUCUGUAAGUGCCAGAAGAACCACCAUGCAAAGUUGUUUUCUCACUAAUGUAUUUUGAUUAAUUGAAAAUUCAGUCUCCAAGAAAACAACUACAUUUUGUAGAAGACAAAAAAGGGUUGAUCAGUACCUUCCUGACAUAUUCACUGUAUUCUCUUUUGAACUUCAUGUUGCUUGGAAUGGAGCACUCAAGCUUCUUAAAUGGAUUUGUUUUUACAAAAACAAACAAACAAACAAAAACCAAACCAAAACAAAACAAAAAGCUAACAUUCCUGUGCUUAUGUAUGUUUCAGAAAGAAAUGGCCUGAACACACACUGCCACACACACUGCGUUGCUAUUGUAUAG